This 465-nucleotide ribosomal RNA is filed under the name uncultured bacterium. RNAcentral describes it as "partial 16S ribosomal RNA". It matches the Rfam family "Bacterial small subunit ribosomal RNA", at positions 28 to 507 of the family's 1533-position model. The record is from RNAcentral.
GACGAACGCUGGCGGCGUGCUUAACACAUGCAAGUCGAACGGAAAGGCCCUGCUUGCCGGGUACUCGAGUGGCGAACGGGUGAGUAACACGUGGGUGAUCUGCCCUGCACUUCGGGAUAAGCCUGGGAAACUGGGUCUAAUACCGGAUAGGAGCCAUUUUUAGUGUGAUGGUUGGAAAGUUUUUUCGGUGUAGGAUGAGCUCGCAGCCUAUCAGCUUGUUGGUGGGGUAAUGGCCUACCAAGGCGGCGACGGGUAGCCGGCCUGAGAGGGUGGACGGCCACAUUGGGACUGAGAUACGGCCCAGACUCCUACGGGAGGCAGCAGUGGGGAAUAUUGCACAAUGGGCGCAAGCCUGAUGCAGCGACGCCGCGUGGGGGAUGACGGCCUUCGGGUUGUAAACUCCUUUCGCUAGGGACGAAGCUUUUUGUGACGGUACCUAGAUAAGAAGCACCGGCUAACUACGUG